This 1400-nucleotide long non-coding RNA is filed under the name Helianthus annuus (common sunflower). Lineage: Eukaryota; Viridiplantae; Streptophyta; Magnoliopsida; Asterales; Asteraceae. The record is from RNAcentral.
AAAACUUCCGGGUCCGCUUUUUUGUUAAAUGGGAUCCCGAAAUACCCAUUUUUUCGACCCGCUAUAAAAACAUUCUAAACACCGCUUCUUCCCCACCACACAAACCCUAAUUUCAUUUUCAAUUAUCUCUGCCGUUCUUCUCUACCUCUCUUUCUGCCUUGAAUCACCCAUUCGUUUCUCUAAUCCAUAUCUCCUACAUCUUCUUAUCGCUUCUACUUCAGCAAUUCUACCUCAUCCAUACCUAAAUCUAUUUUCUUUGGAUCUUCUUCUCUUUGUAAUCAGAUGAUUCAAGCUUCAAGAAUCAGGUCGUCUCCAGAAUUCCAGCCGUCACUAUCAUAUGGAUCGGUUACUGAAAUUGUUUAAUUAGAUUUGGAAAUUAUUAGAUAAAGACAUGAUAGAGGUCGUGUUCUUUCCUGUUGUGAAUGGAAUUUCCAUCUUACAGUGCUGGAAGGAGAUCCUAUCUUAGUUUAAAGUGGGCUGAACGGGCUUGAAUUGUUGUUAACAAGAUUCCAGAUUGCAAGCAAUGGGUUUUGAAGUAUGUUGGGAGACUUGAGUACCAGAUAUGGAGACUUGAUUACCAACUCUGAACUUGCAGUUUUGUCAUUUGGCUGGUUACCAUGUUAUUUAGUGAAUAUUCUUUUGUAGUUUAGUCAAGCCAAAAUCUUCUGAAUCGUUCAAUUUCAUUUACUGUAGGAUUGAGCUACAUCUUCUACUUUUGAUCCAUCAUUUAGCUGUUAUAUAUAAUAGAUAUGUAAUAACUUAUUCAUCAUCAUGUUUUAAGUAAAUAGCAUGUUGCUUUCAAUUGUUAUUGUUCUAAUUAUGCAACUUAUAUGGUAAUUCAGAGCGGCCAUGUACUGUGUACCUAACCGUGUAUAUAGUUACUAACUUUUAAUCAGGUUUACUGUAAAUGCUUGACUUCUUUCUGACAUUGACACCCCAUGAGCAUGGUCUUGCCUGGUGUUGUUGUAUUCAAGUUGUUUAUAAAGCUACAAAUUGGUGUCACGACCACUUAUUUAGUGUUAACUACUUAACUGUGACCCAAAUGUUAAGAAAGCAUGGUGUUGUUGGCAAGUUUGUUGAGUUCUACGGUAAUGUCUAUGUAGCCAGCAAUCAGAUCAUCUGUAAGUUAGUCGUUUCUUUAACUGUGUUUAACAUCACUAUUGAUUGACUUGAUUCCUUUUCUCUUAUCUAUGCUGUGGGUUGUACAUACAGUUAAGGGUAUGAGUGAACAAUCAUUGACUGAUAGAGCAACUAUUGCAAAUAUUUCACCCAGGGUACGGUGCAACCAUGGGCUUCUUCCCUGUAGACCAUGUCACCCUAGAGUACCUUAAGUUAACAAGAAGUGAUGAUAGUGUAAGUAAAUAAAAUUCAGAUGAAAUUAAAAGUUAUUGAUGGAUUGU